GCAGUCGCCGCGGUAAUACAGAGGGUGCGAGCGUUAAUCGGAUUUACUGGGCGUAAAGCGUGCGUAGGCGGCUUUUUAAGUCGGAUGUGAAAUCCCUGAGCUUAACUUAGGAAUUGCAUUCGAUACUGGGAAGCUAGAGUAUGGGAGAGGAUGGUAGAAUUCCAGGUGUAGCGGUGAAAUGCGUAGAGAUCUGGAGGAAUACCGAUGGCGAAGGCAGCCAUCUGGCCUAAUACUGACGCUGAGGUACGAAAGCAUGGGGAGCAAACAGGAUUAGAUACCCGGGUAGUCCCUGUCUCUUAUAC
RNAcentral lists this ribosomal RNA (302 nucleotides) under uncultured bacterium. RNAcentral's name for it is "partial 16S ribosomal RNA". It matches the Rfam family "Bacterial small subunit ribosomal RNA", at positions 508 to 807 of the family's 1533-position model. The record is from RNAcentral.